RNAcentral lists this long non-coding RNA (1649 nucleotides) under Heterocephalus glaber (naked mole-rat). RNAcentral's name for it is "lncRNA (ENSHGLG00000037830.1)". The record is from RNAcentral. Lineage: Eukaryota; Metazoa; Chordata; Mammalia; Rodentia; Bathyergidae.
CCUCCAUGUGACAGAGCUGGGCUUAUGCCUCAUUCCCAGCAGAUGACCAAUAGUGGGAAAUCAAAUAGAAUUUAGUUGUUAUCUCAGACAAGUUUUAACCCCUGGAACUGGUUUCUCAGUUGACUUUAGAGCAUCAGGGAUACUUUUAGAGCCUGACACUGUGGUUUAUGGGAAGUAUGUGGGGUGGAGAGAGACUCUUGUCUCUCCUUAUGCUUCUUCUCCCUUGAGAAAGCUCCUCCCACUCCUCCUGGCCCUGGUUUUGGAAGAGACUGUGCAUCCUCAAAUCCUCCAGCGUGGGAGAUGACUGAGAUGAUCUUUUCAGGGGUUCAGAACUCAGGGACACUUUAUCACUAAGUUGCAUACGUCCCCAGCUCUUUUAAAACUUUGAGACAGGGUCCUGCUAAAUUGCCCAAGCUGCCCUUGAACUUGCAGUCUGGCUGCCUCAGCCUCCUGAGUAGCUGGGAUUACAGGCAUGGGCCACGAGCCCUGCCUUGAGUGCAGGUGGAGGGCGAACUUGAUCCUGUGAAGGCAGCAUUUGAUCCAACAAAAUGGGAGGGCAGGUCAGUGUGUGUGAAAAAGGUGUUUUUAAGGACAACUAGUCUGGGAGCAACGCGUCGGCCGAGGGAGACCACUUGGAGGCAUUCACAAGAAACCAGGCAGACAUCAGGUCGCAGUGCUGGAGUGUUAAGAGGAAAACUAGAAACCAACAGCAAGAGGAGCUAGAAAACUAGAGAAGCAACAGUGAGGAGCCAGAGGGCUGCACUUCCUUUCUCAAGACCCAGAAACAACGGAGCGAGACCCAGAUUCCUGGAUCCACUGUUCCGGCUAUGGAGCACUCCUGGAAAACUUCCGGAUACGACGCUCUUCUUUUAGAAAGGCCUCUACGGGUCGGAGAUUUAGCUCCGUGGCACCGCGCCUGCCUGGCAAGCUCAAAUUCCCGAGUUCGAUCCCUGGUACCAAAAAAAAAAAAAAAAAAAAAAGAGCCUUUAAGACCCUUACACGAAUCUCCAAAGCCCUGUUAGGAUCUCCGCCUUUCAGGCUAAGGACUCCAAGUGCAAAUAACCUGCUUUUGCUCCCGUUGCCAGGGUAACAGCCACAAAGUCAAUUCGGCCACCGUAACUGUUCCCAGAAUGCCGCGCGCCUUCACGCUCUUCCAAGGUCCGACUCCUUCCAGAGACCCGUGUCAGUUGGUCUCGCGAGGGUUGCUGGCAGGAUGUUAGAAUUGGCAGACUUGAGCAUAUUUUUGGGAAGGACAGUAAGGACUGUUCCCCACCCCCCCCAACUUUGCAAGCAAUUAGAAGGCGAAGGAAAGGGCAUAAUCUCACGGAAUUUUUGUUGAUUCUUAAUCAGUGGAUUAGAUGUUAUUAGAAAAAUGGAAAGGUGAUGUAUAUUUUAAGUAACCUGAGUUAGCCAUUCCACAAUGUAUACAUAUUUUAAAACAUGUUGUAGAUCAUAAAUAUAUAUUUUAUUUGUAAAAAAAUAAAAUAGCGUUUAAAGUUAAAAAGCUGAGCCCAGCGUGUUGAUAUACACCUGUAAUCCCCAGACUCGGGAGGCUGAGGCAGGAGUAUCACUGUGAGUUCGAGGUCAACCUGGGCUACAUAGUGAGUUCAAGACCAGCUUGAACUACAUAGUAAGACUCUGUCUCAAAC